This is a long non-coding RNA of Vitis vinifera (wine grape), 427 nucleotides long. RefSeq lists it as uncharacterized. The record is from RefSeq and is a predicted model, not a curated record. NCBI's taxonomy places the organism in Eukaryota, Viridiplantae, Streptophyta, Magnoliopsida, Vitales, Vitaceae. The transcript is spliced from 2 exons.
GUAAACUUGUAAUAAGAGCGUUGUUCUUCUCUGAAACUAAUAUGGCCUCUUCCCCAUGGGAAUUUAGAGAGUCUGGUCACCGUAAAAAGAUCCAAAUCUACGUACGCACUCUGUAAAAGCACAUGAACUUGCAACCGACACAAUGAGUAUAAAAUACGAUCAAACUUACAUAUCUCCAGCCCAGUAUCUGCUGCCAACUGCCAAGAGCUGCAAUAAAUGUUAUUCACAGUGUGUAACCCACUCAUAAGAUGCCGGUCUUCAUUCGGCCCCAGAGAUAUGUUCACCCUGAAAUGCAACCAUGGAAAUUUAAAAUAACAAAAUAUUUAUCAAUAAAAUAAAUUAUAAAAAUUAUAACACUUGAAUUAUUUAUACAAAAUAUUUAUUUUAAUGUAAUUAAAAUAUUUUAUGAGAUAUAUAGUAAUUACUA